This is a long non-coding RNA of Gymnogyps californianus (California condor), 788 nucleotides long. RefSeq lists it as uncharacterized. The transcript has 4 exons. NCBI's taxonomy places the organism in Eukaryota, Metazoa, Chordata, Aves, Accipitriformes, Cathartidae. The record is from RefSeq and is a predicted model, not a curated record.
AGUCUACCAGGAAUGCUCUUCUCUGCAGGAGACGAACCUUCAGGCUUUCAGUGUAGCCACCAGCAGCCACAGUAAUGACUCGGAAGAUAGUUCUCGUCUCUCCCAUCAACAACUGGAAAAAAUCGCAUCCCUGGGGUAACAUCCUCAGAAGUAACACUCGAUCAUGCCUAUGAGCUACUGAAAACUGAAAUCAAACAGACAAAUCAACCAGCCCUAAACUACCCUGAUGGGACACUGUAAUGGCCACCUCAGCGGCCAUGUGGCUCAGUCCUCGCAGCAGCGUUCUCUUCUAUUUAUCAAUUUCUUCCCUGUAUCUCCCGGUUUGCCUGCGUCUUCACUCAUCAUUCAUUUACAAAGCCAUUCAGAGCAUCAGAAACCAAUUUCCUCCCUGAACCCGGUCCUGUAACAAAACAAGGCUACCCUGCAUGCAAGUGAUGUUAUGAAGAUGUGUGCUGUUUUGAACAGAGGAGUGUGUAGCAGGAGGUGGAUUAAGACGAAAAAGAAGCCAAACUCUGUGUUUCAUGAACUGAGUCUUUUCUUCAGCUCAGCAUCCCCCUGCAACAUAAAAAUAGAUGCUUUCCACUUUGUUCUCCUGCACAGGUCUGUAAACUGUCAUGAAAUUACACAUCAAGCUAACGGGCACUGAAGUUUGACUUGCACUUUUGUUCUCUUCUUGCUCCUGAAUCUUUGAUUCCUUUCUCCAAUCAGACAGCUUAAUUAGCCUGAGCCCACCCAACAAGCAGCUGGCUAGCAGCUACCCAUCCCUCGCAUGCUGCUCUGCCUCUGAA